UACGUAGGGACCAAGCGUUGUUCGGAUUUACUGGGCGUAAAGGGUGCGUAGUUGGCCGGUUAAGUCUGACGUGAAAUCUCCGAGCCUAACUCGGAAACUGCAUCGGAAACUAUCCGGCUCGAGGGUUGGAGGGGGGACUGGAAUACUUGGUGUAGCAGUGAAAUGCGUAGAUAUCAAGUGGAACACCAGUGGCGAAGGCGAGUCCCUGGACAACUCCUGACACUGAGGCACGAAAGCUAGGGGAGCAAACAGG
RNAcentral lists this ribosomal RNA (253 nucleotides) under uncultured bacterium. Its description in RNAcentral is "partial 16S ribosomal RNA". It matches the Rfam family "Bacterial small subunit ribosomal RNA", at positions 524 to 776 of the family's 1533-position model. The record is from RNAcentral.